This 497-nucleotide ribosomal RNA is filed under the name uncultured bacterium. Its description in RNAcentral is "partial 16S ribosomal RNA". It matches the Rfam family "Bacterial small subunit ribosomal RNA", at positions 28 to 507 of the family's 1533-position model. The record is from RNAcentral.
GAUGAACGCUGGCGGCGUGCCUAAUACAUGCAAGUCGAGCGAACAGACGAGGAGCUUGCUCCUUUGACGUUAGCGGCGGACGGGUGAGUAACACGUAGGUAACCUACCUAUAAGACUGGGAUAACUUCGGGAAACCGGAGCUAAUACCGGAUAAUAUUUCGAACCGUAUGGUUCGAUAGUGAAAGAUGGCUUUGCUAUCACUUAUAGAUGGACCUGCGCCGUAUUAGCUAGUUGGUAAGGUAACGGCUUACCAAGGCAACGAUACGUAGCCGACCUGAGAGGGUGAUCGGCCACACUGGAACUGAGACACGGUCCAGACUCCUACGGGAGGCAGCAGUAGGGAAUCUUCCGCAAUGGGCGAAAGCCUGACGGAGCAACGCCGCGUGAGUGAUGAAGGUCUUCGGAUCGUAAAACUCUGUUAUUAGGGAAGAACAAACGUGUAAGUAACUGUGCACGUCUUGACGGUACCUAAUCAGAAAGCCACGGCUAACUACGUG